This 301-nucleotide ribosomal RNA is filed under the name uncultured bacterium. Its description in RNAcentral is "partial 16S ribosomal RNA". It matches the Rfam family "Archaeal small subunit ribosomal RNA", at positions 459 to 759 of the family's 1478-position model. The record is from RNAcentral.
CAGCCGCCACGGUAAUACCAGCAGCCCAAGUGGUGGUCGCGAUUAUUGGGCCUAAAGCGCUCGUAGCCGGGCCGGUAAGUCCCUUGUGAAAUCGGACGGCCUAACCGUUCGGCGUGCAAGGGAUACUGUCGGUCUUGAGGCCGGGAGACGUCCGAGGUACUCCGGGGGUAGCGGUGAAAUGUUCUAAUCCUCGGGGGACCACCGGUGGCGAAGGCGUUCGACGAGAACGGGCCUGACGGUGAGGGGCGAAGGCUAGGGGAGCAAACGGGAUUAGAUACCCGCGUAGUCCCUGUCUCUUAUA